GGUGAGGUGGACGAGUGGUUCAGGUGAAAGACUGCUAAUCCAUUGUACUCUGCGUGCGUGGGUUCAAAUCCCAUUCUUGUCA
Molecule: non-coding RNA, 82 nt
Organism: Xenopus laevis (African clawed frog)
Lineage: Eukaryota; Metazoa; Chordata; Amphibia; Anura; Pipidae
Source: Rfam